GUGAUGACAAAGUUCAGCCCGCUCUUGCAUUUUUCUUGCAUUGAGAACACAUCCAGAAUAAAGACUGCUCCUUCAGCCAGGGUCCCAGGUAAUAUGAACAGAUCCACAGUUCACUUUCAGCUGGGCACAGAGCUGUCGUCAACUUCUGGCCCUCACAAAAUGUGAAUGAAAAAGAUGUUUUACUUUGUAGUUGCUGUUAUUUGGAGAGAGUUGUUACUCCAGCCAUCACUGACCAUCCCUGAAGAUAUGAGCAGUAUGGACCUUGCAAGGUUGAUAUUCAGAUCUAAUGACAUAAUGCCUGAAAGGCGGGUAGCAUAGCACCUGACAUACAGUCACUGCUCAGAAACUGUAAGCUGGCAUGACAGAUCUGUUUCUCCAGGUUCAUCCACACCUAUGUCAAGCACACUGACCUGCCCUGUUGCAGAUGUUCAGCUUGAGCCCCUAACACACUGAUACCAAUUUACCAUAGACCAGUCCCCGCACUCAACACUCCGUGUAAUCGCUUCUUUCUGCCACUGUCGCUGGUCUCUAUUGCUGUCUGCUUCCGGGUUGUCUGUGUCUUAUGCCGCUGAGCCCGUCUGCAGAGUGGCCGCUCUCCUCUGCAGAGCACACGGGUGAAGGCACUCACGCACUCAUGACCUCUGCCUGCUUGGUGUCCAGUUUCUCAGCUGCCUCCACCUGGCACCGCAUUACUGCCUCGCUCCAGACUUCCAGGUCUCAUGACUCUCCAUCAGAAGAAAUGCUGGCUCUUUCAGGCUGUGCUAUUAUGUGUGUGUGUGCUGAGGCAGGGUUGGGGCAGGGUGGGUCAUGGAAACUUCUUGCAAAGGUACUAGGGUUCCUAGCAAUUUUGUGUUUUUAGUUUUAUUAUGGCCAGGGUCCAGGGGUGCCCCCAGGUGACUUGGGUCACCUGAGUUUUAGUAGAGCUUUCAUUGUUCCAGAAGUAUGGUCCUUACCAAACAAUCUCAUUGUGACUAAGCUAAGCUGAACAACCUCUACCAGACUUCCUCACUCGGUGUGUUUCUCUUAAAGCUCUGCUCUCCUUCUCUACAAUCUUGUAUCUGCUGGAAUCAGCUCUCCUCAAGUUUCCCAAGUAUGUUUGCACCUGAACUCAGCAUUCUAAACAGGACUAUGCAGAAUUGGAUUACAUUUCAUCUCCCUCAACCAUCCAUCUUCCCUUCCCUGCUCAUUUGCUGGGGCUGCAGAAGUAUUGAGUGCUCCAGGACAGACUUGGUUUUCCAAACCAUGCAAGUCAUUAUGAAUGGCCUUGUGUCCAGUGCGAUGGGGAUCCCUGUCAGCAUCAAGCUGCCCCUAAUGUGAUCAAGUUAAAGAAAGAAGCAGAGGAGAUUCUCAUUAAAUAGGAAUAACAGUGAUGGUACUGUGGUUGUGAUUAGCUCUGCUCAGGGUUGGAGUUAAUAUUGCUUCUCCCCUGCAGUAUUUUUUAAUUACACUUCUGAUUUUCUAUUUGGAGACAUCAUAGACCUGUGCUGGUGAAUUGUCACACAACCACAAGUCAAAUAUGUGUUAAAUAUGA
Molecule: non-coding RNA, 1531 nt
Organism: Odocoileus virginianus texanus
Lineage: Eukaryota; Metazoa; Chordata; Mammalia; Artiodactyla; Cervidae
Source: RefSeq, a predicted model, not a curated record